Acanthosepion pharaonis is the source of this 111-nucleotide non-coding RNA. The record is from the annotation of a GenBank genome assembly. Lineage: Eukaryota; Metazoa; Mollusca; Cephalopoda; Sepiida; Sepiidae.
UGGCUACAUCACUGUGAAACAUCGGUUCCCGUGCGAUCACUGAAGUUAAGCAACGUCGUGCCUGGUCAGUACCUAGAUGGGUGUCUGCUUGGAAAUAUCAUGUGCUGUAAU